AUACAUUUCUCAGCCUUUUGGCUAAGAUUAAGUUCAGAAUCUGUUCUGAUCAGUUUAAUAUCUGAUGAUAUUAACUCAAUGUCAAACAGACUGAACAAAA
Non-coding RNA from Nicotiana attenuata, 100 nucleotides. The record is from Rfam. NCBI's taxonomy places the organism in Eukaryota, Viridiplantae, Streptophyta, Magnoliopsida, Solanales, Solanaceae.